AACUAAACAAACCUGUCCUGGAUCCUGAUGUGCCAGAAAUGCACCUGCCAAGCAGCACUUCAUGGUUUGCCCUGAGGUACAUUUCAAAGGGCAGAGCAGCACGACUGGGGACGUUGCAGUCUGCAGAAAUGCCGACACCUGGCACUUGCUUUGUCGUCCCUGCCACUGUGCAGGCUGCAAACUUGGUGGCGAUCAGUUGGAUUAAAAAAAUGAAAUACGGUCUUGCUAAGUUGCCCAGGCUGGACUCAGAAUGCUAUUCUGUCUCAGCUUCCUAGAGUGCUGGGAUUACAGGCAUGAGCUGUGGAGUUCCAAAUGUGACGAUGAAGAUUUAGUUCCUGCUCACUCCCAGCCCCCACCACAUUCAUGGACACCUCCUGUCUCCUAUCUUCCAACAUAAAUUAUACUGAAGUUAGAUUCAUGUUCGCUGUUUACAUUAUUAAUUAUCAUUGCUUAGAGCUGAAUCAUGCAGUAAACUAGACUUUUCCUCUCCAAAGUUAAGUAUGCCUUGUUUUGUUUUGUUUUAUCAUGCUGGGGAUUGAACUCAGAGCCUUAUACAUGCAGGGCAAGGGCUCUACUCCUGAGCUACACCCCAGGCUCACCAUUGCCUUUUGGGGGUCUUCUGCUCUACACAUGUAUCAGCAGCUGCACUAAGUCCUCACCCAUGCUAGUACUGCUCAGUACAAUCAAAUACACUGGGAUUUCAAUACACUGUCUUCUAAAGAAAUGUGUUUGGGAGACUCACUGCCUAAGUUGGAGUUGUGUCACUUUGAGUCUUCCAGGAGUAGACAGCCCAAAGGGCAAGAGAGUGAGUGAUUGGGGGAACACCUCUGAAAAGAUGGGGGAAGGAGGAGGCACUGGCAGGAGGAUUCAGCUCCAACCUGGGCAGCGACAGGGGAGGGCAGGGGACUGAGCAGGAGCAGCCCGGUCUGAGUGACCUCACUGGAGAAACCUUGUAGCGGGCACGGGGGGCCAGGCCUGGUGAGCUGGCCUUGGCCUGAGCUGGGGUGGAGGCCAGCACGGGCCCUCUCCUCCUUCCAGGUUCUGUGCUGCAGGGUGAGCUGAGCCAUGCAUCCCAAGGCUCACAGGCUAAGGAGCCCCGGCUUCCGGACAACUUCCGCCUCCUCCAUGGAGGAGCUCCAGGGAGCCACUUAGACCACCACAGCGUCUACGCUGCUUCCUGCCACCCUCUCCGGGGGGGAUUUCUCCAUGGCUUCCCCAGAAAGAAGGUCCCCUUGCCUCUCAAAACUGUCUUUACUCCACUCUAUGUUUAAUUGGUGGUUGGCUGAGGAUGGGAGUCUCAAAACAAUUUUCCUUCAAAAUGUGCAGGUGCUCUAUUCCCUUCCGUCUUCUCGAGUGGUUCUCGAUAACUGUAAAGUCAGACAAAGAUGCUUGAUGCUUGACUCUGGUGUUCUGAAAUUUCAUGGUAAUGAGAAUUAGCAAAAUAGUCUGAAUAUCUUGGGACUCCUACUCUGAACACUCAUGUUCAUAUUUGAGAAUUUUAUAUGCACAAUUUCUUUAAUGUUGUUGUCCCAUCCAUUUUUAAAAAACUUUUUUUGGUACGGGGUAUCAGACCCACGACCUUGUGCUUGCAAGGCAGAUGGCAGAACCACUGAGCUAAAUCCCUGGCCCUUCCCAUCCAUUUUCUCAGGUCAUUUCUCUUGGACCCUGAUUCAAUCCCACAAUUUUCUUAUUUGUGAGUAUGUUUAACCUUCUACUUUUCCUUCUUUUUUUGUUUCCACUGUAAUUUCUGAGAUUUUUUUUUUUCAUUUGUAAUUCCAAAGUCUCUCAGAGAUUUUUUUUUAAACAGUUCUGUUCUAUUUUAAUGUUAAAACACAUAGCUAUUCUCAGGAAAACCUCUUGUAAACAUUUCACAUUUCAUGGACAGAAUAUCCUAGUGUUUUUUUCAGAGGAAAUCAAUGAUAGUUAAAAACACCCUUUUCUUCUCUUUUUCCUUUACUUUUAUUCUUCCUGGCUACUUUGCUUUGAUCUCCAUUUUUGUGUUACCAGGCUCCUCCGAGGACCGUGCUGGGUGCAUGGGCAUGGCCGUAGGGAGACCUGGGUGUGCUGUGCUGUGCUGUGGGAAAACUCAGCGACGUCUGGAGUUUUGUGUCUUCUCGUCAUCUUUCCUUUUGGAGUGGAUUUUAGGGUUCCUGGUCCUUGGUGGAACCCUGGCUACUGGCGCAGUGAGGACCAAGUGUGGCUGAGCCAUCAGCACUAGGAGGCAGUGCCCAGCCCUGCUGUCCUCUGAACUCAGCCCUGCCCUUCGCCUCUGUGCUGCUCUCCACAGGGAAUGGCCCCCAGCAGGGCGGAAGGGUCGAGCCAAGCGUGGGUGCACUGAGUGUCUUGAGGGACACGUAAGCAUACCUUUAGUCAAAUCUUUAGUUGCUGCCUCUUCCAGAGGUCCCUGGAUGCCAUUUCCACAGCCUUGGGCUGUCUGCUGUUAAUGUCAGGGCCUUCUCGGCUUCCCCCUACUGCCUUACUUAAUUUUCUUGGAUGUGCUAAGUCAGUUACCAUGAAUCUUUCCAGUUCUCCAAUUUCUGCCCCCCCUUUCCUUUUUUUCCUUUUGCCAAACUCUGCAGGUUUUCAUGAGCGCGUGGAGGCUAAUGUACAUGUGCACUCACUACACUAAGCUGCAAGUCAGCCAUGAUGUACUCUCAUAGCACACUGAGUCUCUCUUCUCUAAUAAUGUAAAUUCACUUCUAAUUUCUCUUAAAUCUAAAACAGAUCCUUAUACAGUAAAAUUGGUAUUCAUAUUUGCUAUGAAUCUCACUUUGGGAAUAAUGAAGGCAGAGCCACUGCACGGUGCCGCCAGAAUGUGCUGCGGGCCUCAGAGCUCUGUCUAUAAAUGACUACGCGUUAUACUGAGCAAAUAAUCACUCUUAACAAUUUAAUAUGUAGCCUGGAAUCUUUCUUAACAUCUAUGGAAAAGAAAAAAUUCCAUAUUCAUGUGCUAUCUGUUCUCGUUUCUACUUUUUUUUGGUACUGGGGAUUGAACUCGGGACCUUGCACUUGCGAGGCAGGUGCUGGAACCACUGAGCUAAAUCCCCGGCCCCCCGUGUUUCUCUUCUUAAGCAAAGAUCAGAACACUGUCACCAUCUCACUACCCUCUCUCCCCAGAAAUAAGACCCAGCUGGAGAAUAAUCAGCCUUGAAAACUAGAGAGCAAACAUCCCAGGCCCCAUCAGCCGGUCCUUGCCUUCCCUGCCUCACAGAGCAGCCACUGAGCAAGACAGCAGUGAAGCCAGGGGAGGCGAGGACGGGCUGAUGGGGCUGGUGUGUUUGCUUGCUAGUUUUCAAGGCCGGUUAUUUUCCAGCAGGGUCUUACUUUGGAGGGAAUGGUGUGUGCGGCGUCGGGCCUCCUGGAUCUACAGAGUACACAGCCUGGUGUGGACUGGCGUUGCUUUGGCACUUGCAGUGAUAACGACACUUACAGCCUACGCGGGAAAGAAUGCUGAUCUUGAAGUCAGUUUGAGACUGACCUCUUACAAGCAGAAGUCUGAGAAGUUUGGCGGACCAUUCACACCUGAGCUUCUUCCUCUGCAAAGCGGGCAGGGCCCUAACUGGGAGAGCUAUCAGGAGAUGCAGGGUGCUGUGCACAGUGCAAUCACUACUCAUACCCUCGUGGCUAUUUUGAACAUAGCAGGUGCUCAAUGCUGAGCUGGUUCCACAAGCUAGAAGUUACCUUCCAGCUCCAAUCUAUCUCACUGCUGUUGACAGGGUGCCCAUUGUAGACAUUUACCUUCUUGUUGGAGAUAGAUUGCUGAGGUUUGGGACUUGCUCUGUCACUAACUACAUGGUGACGCAGGACAAGUCAAAGUGUGUAAGAGGGAAGUAGUAACGCAUGGGUUUCUAAUGUUCAGCUUAACUUGAAAACACAAGUUUAAAAAUUCCACUGAAUUUGGUGAUAAAUGAUAUGAUAUGGGGGAUUUACCUCAAAAUCACCAGAGGGGUGGGAUGGGGGAGUGAGUGGGUUUAGAUGAAAUGAGAUUGUCCACAGCCUUGACACUGCCGAGAUGAGGGGCUGGUGUGGGGUGUGUGCGGGUCCCUCUGCCUGCGUGCACAUGUGGUGUGUGGACACCUGCAGAACCAAAGACGGAACCCGAGGCCUCACGCUUGCUAGGCACAUCUCCACGACUGAGUGACACUCCCAACCCAUACUUCCCUAUAUUUUUGGAAUUCCCGUAAUAAAAUGUUAGAAAAACAUCAGCAAAUAAAAGAUUUCUUCAAA
This is a non-coding RNA of Heterocephalus glaber (naked mole-rat), 4227 nucleotides long. The record is from RefSeq and is a predicted model, not a curated record. NCBI's taxonomy places the organism in Eukaryota, Metazoa, Chordata, Mammalia, Rodentia, Bathyergidae.